GCCCAUGUUGUUCAAUGGUUAGAAUAUCAGUCUGUGCACCCAAGGAUUGCGGGUUUGAUUCCCUGUCAAGGGCA
This is a non-coding RNA of Myotis lucifugus (little brown bat), 74 nucleotides long. The record is from Rfam. NCBI's taxonomy places the organism in Eukaryota, Metazoa, Chordata, Mammalia, Chiroptera, Vespertilionidae.